GACGAACCACACGAACGUUAUUCGGAAUUACUGGGCUUAAAGGGUGCGUAGGCGGCGCGCUAAGUAGGGUGUGAAAUCCCUCGGCUCAACCGAGGAACUGCGCUCUAAACUACCGUGCUUGAGGGAGAUAGAGGUGAGCGGAACUUAGGGUGGAGCGGUGAAAUGCGUUGAUAUCCUAAGGAACACCGGUGGCGAAAGCGGCUCACUGGAUCUUUUCUGACGCUGAGGCACGAAAGCUAGGGUAGCGAACGGG
Molecule: ribosomal RNA, 253 nt
Filed under: uncultured bacterium
Lineage: Bacteria
Description: partial 16S ribosomal RNA
Rfam family: Bacterial small subunit ribosomal RNA
Source: RNAcentral